This 89-nucleotide unclassified non-coding RNA is filed under the name Pseudomonas moraviensis. The record is from RNAcentral. Lineage: Bacteria; Pseudomonadati; Pseudomonadota; Gammaproteobacteria; Pseudomonadales; Pseudomonadaceae.
UGUAGGAGUGAGCCUGCUCGCGAUGGCGCAGUGUCAGUCAACCCUGCUUCAACUGACAGACUGCUAUCGCGAGCAGGCUCACUCCUACA